GGGGAAUAUUGGACAAUGGGCGCAAGCCUGAUCCAGCCAUGCCGCGUGAGUGAUGAAGGCCUUAGGGUUGUAAAGCUCUUUCGGCGGGGAAGAUAGUGACGGUACCCGCAGAAGAAGCCCCGGCUAACUUCGUGCCAGCAGCCGCGGUAAUACGAAGGGGGCUAGCGUUGCUCGGAAUCACUGGGCGUAAAGCGCACGUAGGCGGUUCGGUAAGUCCGAUGUGAAAGCCCUGGGCUCAACCUGGGAACUGCAUUGGAUACUGGCGAGCUAGAGUGCGGUAGAGGAUGGUGGAAUUCCCGGUGUAGCGGUGAAAUGCGUAGAGAUCGGGAGGAACACCAGUGGCGAAGGCGGCCAUCUGGACCAGCACUGACGCUGAGGCACGAAAGCGUGGGGAGCAAACA
This 401-nucleotide ribosomal RNA is filed under the name uncultured bacterium. RNAcentral's name for it is "bacterial SSU rRNA". It matches the Rfam family "Bacterial small subunit ribosomal RNA", at positions 356 to 774 of the family's 1533-position model. The record is from RNAcentral.